CUAAAGGCUGUGAACAGGAAGAGUAUCCAUGAUUUCCAUCCGUACAGAGAGCAGGAGGUGCUGAGAACCUGCCGGAACGAUCUGGAGAAAAUCGCCUGAGAGCCGAUGGCUGAAGCAAGGAGUAAGCCAAUCCGUAAUCCUGCGUUAAAGGAUAAGGUAUUAAGAUGUACCUGAUAACAUGGUAAAGGUGGUAUAACGGAGCUAAGCUUCGUCCUGACA
This 219-nucleotide non-coding RNA is filed under the name Anaerosporomusa subterranea. Its description in RNAcentral is "Anaerosporomusa subterraneum T-box sequence". It matches the Rfam family "T-box leader". From Rfam's summary of the family: Uncharged tRNA acts as the effector for transcription antitermination of genes in the T-box leader family. T-boxes are found upstream of many aminoacyl-tRNA synthetase genes and some amino acid biosynthetic genes usually in Gram-positive bacteria. The record is from RNAcentral. Lineage: Bacteria; Bacillati; Bacillota; Negativicutes; Acetonemataceae.